This 327-nucleotide long non-coding RNA is filed under the name Mytilus galloprovincialis (Mediterranean mussel). The record is from RNAcentral. Lineage: Eukaryota; Metazoa; Mollusca; Bivalvia; Mytilida; Mytilidae.
CACGAAAACUUAACCUUGUUCACUGAUCCAUGAAAUGAGGUCGAGGUCAAGUGAAAACGGUCUGACAGGCAUGAGGACCUUGCAAGGUACGCACAUACCAAAUAUAGUUAUCCAAUUACUUAUAAUAAGAGAGAAUUUAACAUUACAAAAAAUCUGAACUUUUUUUUCAAGUAGUCACUGAACCAUGAAAAUGAGGUCAAGGACAUUGGACAUGUGACUGACGGAAAGUUCGUAACAUGAGGCAUCUAUAUACAAAGUAUGAAGCAUCCAGGUCUUCUACCUUCUAAAAUAUAAAGCUUUUAAGAAGUGAGCUAACACCGCCGCCGC